GUUUUCGUAUGUGAGGUAAUCUUGCUGGGAGUGAAGGCAGUGCGUAUGACCACUUGAUAUGAGAGACACUUCCUGUUUUUAAAGGUAAACUUUAUACUGUAAGCUCCAUUCCCUUUAUAACAGAGUUUUUGUGAGGUAAUCUUUCUUAUGCUGGGAGUGAAGGCAGUGCGUAUGAUCACUUGAUAUGAGAGACACAUCCUGUUUUUAAAGGUGGAUCAUAUGUGAAGCUCUGCAGGUCGGCCAUUGACUUGAUAACAGUGGUUUAUGUUUAUUCAAUUUAUGAAUAAAUCUCUCGCCAACCAUUCACCUAUUUACUGACAAAACAGAUCCAAAUCUUGUACAGCCUGAUGCUCAUCCUUCUAUGAUGAUGACCACUGCAAGGUGAUGGGAAUCUGUGGUUCUCACAGCCUGCGUCUCAAGAUCAACAUGACAACAGCAGUCAUCUCUUAUCUUACUCUUAUCUGACUAAAUGUUCAACCUCAUUGUCACAAAACAAAGAAUAUUGGAUGGAGUAUGUACUGUACAAUGAUCCAGCAAACAAAAUAAUUUGGAAUUUUGUCGAGAUUCUACAAACAUUGACACAAUCCUAUUGACUUUUAUAUUUACAGUUAGUAAUGUAUUAUUAACAUCUAGGGAUGCACCGAAUCCAGAUUUUUUAGGUUCGGCCGAAUCCCGAAUCCACCGUUUAAGAUUCGGCCGAAUCCGAAACCGAAUACCGAAUCCUACUCGCAUCCUUAUUCCAACACAGUAAAACACAUUAAUGAAGUAAAAAACGUCCACAGCAGUGUAUUUUUCAUUUUAUUUAAUUUUAACUGUACAUUAUGCCAGGAUGACAAGUUGGAAAAACUAUUUUGACAAUUACCAUAAGCCUAUGCAUAAUG
Molecule: non-coding RNA, 881 nt
Organism: Misgurnus anguillicaudatus (oriental weatherfish)
Lineage: Eukaryota; Metazoa; Chordata; Actinopteri; Cypriniformes; Cobitidae
Source: RefSeq, a predicted model, not a curated record